UACGGGGGGAGCAAGCGUUGUUCGGAUUUACUGGGCGUAAAGGGCGCGUAGGCGGCCUCCGCAAGUCAGUUGUGAAAUCUCCGGGCUUAACCCGGAAAGGUCAACUGAUACUGCGGGGCUAGAGUGCAGAAGGGGCAACCGGAAUUCUCGGUGUAGCGGUGAAAUGCGUAGAUAUCGAGAGGAACACCUGCGGCGAAGGCGGGUUGCUGGGCUGACACUGACGCUGAAGCGCGAAAGCUAGGGGAGCGAACGGG
RNAcentral lists this ribosomal RNA (254 nucleotides) under uncultured bacterium. RNAcentral's name for it is "partial 16S ribosomal RNA". It matches the Rfam family "Bacterial small subunit ribosomal RNA", at positions 524 to 776 of the family's 1533-position model. The record is from RNAcentral.